CAGCAGCCGCGGUAAUACGUAGGUGGCAAGCGUUGUCCGGAAUUAUUGGGCGUAAAGGGCUCGCAGGCGGUUUCUUAAGUCUGAUGUGAAAGCCCCCGGCUCAACCGGGGAGGGUCAUUGGAAACUGGGAAACUUGAGUGCAGAAGAGGAGAGUGGAAUUCCACGUGUAGCGGUGAAAUGCGUAGAGAUGUGGAGGAACACCAGUGGCGAAGGCGACUCUCUGGUCUGUAACUGACGCUGAGGAGCGAAAGCGUGGGGGGCGAACAGGAUUAGAUACCCGAGUAGUCCCUGUCUCUUAUAC
This 301-nucleotide ribosomal RNA is filed under the name uncultured bacterium. RNAcentral describes it as "partial 16S ribosomal RNA". It matches the Rfam family "Bacterial small subunit ribosomal RNA", at positions 509 to 807 of the family's 1533-position model. The record is from RNAcentral.